UUUGCCACAAGGGCAUCACACAGAUGGAAGCUUUGCGGGCUGGACACGGACAUUGAUGGCAUGAAUGAUGAUGAUAGGAGAAGAUGAUUUUCUUCUUUGUGAACGGCGGGAGACAAGCUGGAGAAGUAAGUCAGAUUCCGAUAUUCUGAGCAAGGGAGAUUCCGAUUCUGACAAAAAACAAAAAACUCUGCAUUGGUUUCUAAAAUUGUAUUUUGAUGAUGAAUGAAGUUGAAAUUGUUGCUGAUGAUGAUGGGAAUCGUGACUUUAUUGCUGGUCACAGUUUAGGCGGUGGUGGUAGUAAUGACGAUGGUGGUUAAAUGCUUUCCCCAUGUACGUUAAUUCGAAAAAAAUGUACAUUAAGUUGUAAAAUCUCUUCGGUUCUGAUAUUUUAUUCUGCUUAUUUAUUUCCGAUUGAAUAUAUUUUUAUAUAUUUAAAAAUUGGAAUUUUGGAAAAUUGAAAUUAGGCGGGAAUGAGGUAAUCCGUAAAGGAAAGGGUAGCGACGUCGUCAGGAGCCGGAAGAGGAAGCGAUGAAGUGAGGCUACGGUGGUCUUCUGUCCUCGGGGCAAUCGUGGUGAACGGAUGCGUGUGGACGAUAGAGAUUGAACGCAACUGGAUAGCCAACAGAGAUUAACAGAUGACAUUGUACUCAACUGAAUGUGUCAGCUCCUUUGAAAACCUCAAAAUCAUCUCAUCCAAAGAAGCAUUUGCACUAAUUCCACAACCCAGUUAUUGGAAAGGUUUUGUGUAUUAUAAACUGGUGCCCAUUUAAGCUUGAAUUUCAAGGGCUCAAAGAACUUAGAAUACCAGCUUUUGAAACAAUUCAGGGAAAAAUGAGAGGCAAAACAGUUUUAAAAUAUUUAUUUAUAGUUUUUAGAAGGGACUUUCAGUGUAUUGAAUGUGUUCCUUUUGAAGUUCAGAAAACACUCCCUUAACCCUUUCGUUACUGUAUUUCUGUUGAGAUGCUUUGUGUUUCUUUCAAUUACUUUAAAUAUAACAAAGAAUUUAGUAAAAUAACUUAGUUAU
Molecule: long non-coding RNA, 1024 nt
Organism: Octopus sinensis (East Asian common octopus)
Lineage: Eukaryota; Metazoa; Mollusca; Cephalopoda; Octopoda; Octopodidae
Exons: 3
Source: RefSeq, a predicted model, not a curated record